This 468-nucleotide ribosomal RNA is filed under the name uncultured bacterium. RNAcentral describes it as "partial 16S ribosomal RNA". It matches the Rfam family "Bacterial small subunit ribosomal RNA", at positions 28 to 507 of the family's 1533-position model. The record is from RNAcentral.
GACGAACGCUGGCGGCGUGCUUAACACAUGCAAGUCGAACGGAAAGGCCCUGCUUUUGUGGGGUGCUCGAGUGGCGAACGGGUGAGUAACACGUGAGUAACCUGCCCUUGACUUUGGGAUAACUUCAGGAAACUGAGGCUAAUACCGGAUAGGAGCUCCUGCUGCAUGGUGGGGGUUGGAAAGUUUCGGCGGUUGGGGAUGGACUCGCGGCUUAUCAGCUUGUUGGUGGGGUAGUGGCUUACCAAGGCUUUGACGGGUAGCCGGCCUGAGAGGGUGACCGGCCACAUUGGGACUGAGAUACGGCCCGGACUCCUACGGGAGGCAGCAGUGGGGAAUAUUGCACAAUGGGCGGAAGCCUGAUGCAGCAACGCCGCGUGCGGGAUGACGGCCUUCGGGUUGUAAACCGCUUUCGCCUGUGACGAAGCGUGAGUGACGGUAAUGGGUAAAGAAGCACCGGCUAACUACGUG